CCUACGGGAGGCAGCAGUGGGGAAUAUUGGGCAAUGGCCGCAAGCCUGACCCAGCAACGCCGCGUGAAGGAAGAAGGCUUUCGGGUUUGAAACUUCUUUUGUCAGGGACGAAGCAAGUGACAGUACCUGACGAUUAAGCCACGGCUAACUACGAGCCAGCAGCCGCGGUAAUACGUAGGUGGCAAGCGUUAUCCGGAUUUACUGGGUGUAAAGAGCGUGUAGGCGGGACUGCAAGUCAGAUGUGAAAACCACGGGCUCAACCUGUGGCCUGCAUUUGAAACUGGAGUUCUUGAGUACUGGGGAGGCAGACGGAAUUCGUGGUGUAGCGGUGAAAUGCGUAGAUAUCAGGAGGAACACCAGUUGCGAAGGCGGUCUGCUGGACAGCAACUGACGCUGAGGCGCGAAAGCGUGGGGAGCAAACAGGAUUAGAUACCCCUGUAGUC
Molecule: ribosomal RNA, 443 nt
Filed under: uncultured bacterium
Lineage: Bacteria
Description: partial 16S ribosomal RNA
Rfam family: Bacterial small subunit ribosomal RNA
Source: RNAcentral